UACCGAUAUUCGCCAGCGGGCGGUAGU
RNAcentral lists this non-coding RNA (27 nucleotides) under Bombyx mori (domestic silkworm). Lineage: Eukaryota; Metazoa; Arthropoda; Insecta; Lepidoptera; Bombycidae. The record is from RNAcentral.